CCGGACUACACUCUGGAAGAGAGAUGACAGCUUCCUGAGUCAACGGAAACUUGGUAGCAAGAAAGCUGCAGAGGAGGCUGCCAGCAGUACAGGAUGCAGGGAGAACCCAGGCCUGGGGUUGAGGCCAGGAGACUCGAUUCCAGCUUUACUGUGUGACUUUAGCAGGACUGUCAUGGGUAGAAGCUGCUGGCAUGUCAUCUACAGCCUUGGAGGACAGGAUUGUGGCCAAGCACGAGGAGGUUCCAGAAGUUUCAGUUCAGUAUGAAGAAAAAUUUCAGAACCAUCACAAACCGGUAGGCUGCCUCAUUGGAGGGUGGAGCAUGGUGGUGGAAGUGAGUACUCCAUCACUAAUAGCAUGCAAGAAGAGGUUGGAGAGUCAAACUUCAUGCUGUAGACUGGACUGAGUGAUCUUUGAGAACCCUGAACUCUAACAGUCUAUAAUUCUAAAAAGCAUCACUGAUGUUCGACAAGUGAAAGCCUCUGUGUGUGGUCAACAUUUUCUCACUGGCUGGAGGACAGUCCAAUGUGACUGUACAACCAACUUAAAGUUAGAAGUGCCAGGCUGCACCAUUCCGCUGCACCGGGGACACGGCCUACGCUCUGAACACCUGCAGGACCCCCAGAGCACACAAGUCAGGGGUGGAUGUGGUCUCCACUGCUCCUAUCUGAACGACUGAUGAGGUGUCUCAGGGGAGGAAAGGACCACUUCCUUCUUAAACACCCCUGCACCUGCUGAGCCAGCCCACAGCAGACAAGCGUCAGAAGGGCCUUGAGUGCAAGGCCUCACUUCGCAGACGAUGACACUGAGGCCUAGAGAAAGCCUUUCUAAUACACCUUAUUUAUUUUCUUCCUCCCUAGGGCUCCCGUUUUCUUGUCCCAUAUCAGCUUCCCAGGGUGUCUGCUAGUUCUGGUUGCCUCAGAGGGCCUGGAGCUGGCAAAAGCACUAGACAUUAUUUCUAGCAUUUGGGUCAGCCUGGCAGGCAGGACCCUGAAGAAGCUGGACAGAAAAUGGUGUCAGUAGCUGGAUGGGGGUGGAGAAAGAGACAGGCUGAGGGCCCAGAUACCUGUCUCCCAGUCCAAUGACAAACUGGGAGUCCAGAGCCAAGGUCCUAGUCUGCAAUCUGAGGCUGAGCGCCCGGAUACCUGUCUCACAGUCCAAUGGCAAAUUGAGAGUCCAGAGCCAAGGUCCUAGCUUGCCAUCUGCUUGCUGUGUGACCUUGAGUGGACACCCUUCCUUUUCUGUGCUUCUGUAUCCUCUUCUGCAUGGCAUGGAAUUGUGCAAUGGGAUACAUAAGAGCCCUUCUGGUUUUGACAUGCUGUGGAUGGGGAAGAAGGGGCAGAGUGAGGUCAUCUUGCUAUCUCAUCUUCUGUCGAUCCUGUCCUGAUUGUUUGCUCUGGGCAGGGCAGGGGCAGUUUGACACACUCAGCUGUUAGCUCUGGUCAUGGAGGGGGCUUCUCUGGAGAGCAGGAAAGGAGGGCCCUUGCUCAGGAGGCCUGGCUGAGAACCUGGAGCCCUCCACACCAUCCCCUGUUCUUCAGCAGCCAGUGUAAGGGUGGUUGUAAAAGAGAGGGCAGGAUUGCCUGAAAGCAGAGAAUGACAGAGCUCAGCCACCUCCCAAGUUGCAUGCAGCAUGCUCCCAAUUCUACAGUGGCACUAUGAGCAGAAAUAAGUACCCAUUAGUGAGGACAAUGAGGAGGCACAGGAUGCUCAGGGCAGGACCGUUUGCAGUAGGGAAAUGCUGUAAACUGGGGACUGGCUGGAUACACUCGGACAUAAUACUAUAUCAUUUCAUUCAUAUGUUUAAGAGAGUGAAGUAGACCUUUAUGUACAAAGACGGAAAGGCAUUUGGUAAAAUACCAAUAUCCAAACUAAACUAUUUCUUUUCUGUCACCCAGGCUGGAGUGCAGUGGUGUAUUCUUGGCUCACUGCAACCUCCGCCUCCCAGGUCCAAGCAAUUCUCCUGCCUCAGCCUCCCCAGUAACUGGGACUACAGGUGCGUGCCACCACGCCCAGCUAAUUUUUGUAUUUUUAGUAGAGACAGGGUUUUACCAUGUUGAUCAAGCUGGUCUUGAACUCCUGACCUCAGGUGAUCUGCCCGCCUUAGCCUCCCAAAGUGCUGGGAUUACAGGCGUGAGCUACCGUGCCCGGCCAACUAUUACUAAUGAUAAAAAAAUGCACAGGAAAAAGUACCUAGAAAAGCACAAACUGAUAACAGUUGUCAUCUCCAGAGAAUGGACUAAAAUUACGGUGGUCAAGGAAGGGUAGCUUCCAUUUUACCUAAAUUCUUAGGAUUUUUUUUUUUUUUUUUUUUUUUUUUUGAGACUGAGUCUUGCUUUGUCACCUAGAGUGAGUGGUGUGCAGUGCUGCGAUCUCGGCUCACUGCAGCCUCUGCCUCCCAGGUUCCAGCGAUUCUCCUGCCUCAGCCUCCUGGGUAGCUGAGAUUACAGACACGUGCCACAUGCCCAGCUAAUUUUUGUAUUUUUAGUAGAGACGGGGUUUCACCAUGUUGGUCAGGUUGGUCUCAAACUCCUGACCUCAGGUGAUCCGCCCGCCUCAGUCUCCCAAAGCGCAGGGAUUACAGGUGUGAGCCACCACACCUGGCCAAUUCUUAGGAUUUUUAAAGCAACAAUGCAUUCAAGAAUUACUUGUAUACAAAGAAAUUAACAACAAGAAAAAG
Long non-coding RNA from Pongo pygmaeus (Bornean orangutan), 2678 nucleotides. RefSeq lists it as uncharacterized. The record is from RefSeq and is a predicted model, not a curated record. The transcript is spliced from 3 exons. NCBI's taxonomy places the organism in Eukaryota, Metazoa, Chordata, Mammalia, Primates, Hominidae.